UUUGGGGCUAGAAGUUGCGGACUAGUAGCUGAGGCGGCACGGGAGUGUAGGCGCGCGGGGUCGUUGCCGGGGGCACAGAGUGAGAACAAGCAAGGGAGCCCUGCUGAAUUGCAGCUUAGGAAGCCCUGAAUCCUGGAGAUAUGUUCCUGACCCUUCCUUCUUGAAGGGACAGCUGUGUAACCAUUCAACCAUCUGGCCAUCAGUUUCCACAUCUGUGAAAUCAACUUCUGCCUCAUGGAGCCGUGAGUUCCCAAGGCUCUCGUGUGUAUUAUCUGAUUGGAAAGUCUUUACAGCUCACUGACAGUGAAGGCAGUGAGGGGCUGUGGUGUGAUCCAGGAGGCUGAGAAUUAUGCAGUGGGUGCUGUCACCUUGAAGACAUCAGCGUGAUCAGGCAGAUCAUCAUGGUACUGCAUUUCCUGGACACGAUCUUAAUUUUCUUAAUACCUCCACCGACAUUUCAAAUAGCGUCUCUAAUGCCCCAGAGACUUUUAUGCCCCUAAGGUAGUUUUCUUUCUUUUGUGAAGCAGAAGAAGGGAAAUUGUUAAAGGGAAUAUUUUAACUAAAUUUAUUUCCAUAAAACUAUCUUUGUCUUUAUAUCUCAUGGAAAGUGUUAGGUAGCCUCAGGAUUAUAUCUCCGUUGGAAAACUGUAGAUGUAAACCUUCUUGCUAUCUACAUACUUACAUAUUUUUCUGUUGUUAUUUACUUAUGAAUAGCAUUUUGAUUAUAGCAGAAAUAAAAUACAUUAAAUGACUAAGCUCAGAAAUAAGAAAAAAAGGUCAAUGGUGAUCAUUUAUUUGGAAACUAUGAUAUUUUAAUGAUAUUAAUGGUGUAAUUGACAUUUAGUUAAACAUAUUUCAUCGUAAGUAGAGCACUUUAACUCUUACGGUCCACUUAAAAUGUAAUCAUACGUUUAUGUAUUUCUAGUUAAUGUAUCAAACUCAACUGAGUAAUCAAUGUACAUCAUUUAUUUUGCUCCUAAGUUAAUACACUAAGUUAUGCUUUAAAAUUACUAAUUUGCUGCAAUAUCCAAUACUCUCUUUUAAGUCUUACGUCUGCAGAAAAGGAUAUAAACAUUUCAUGACACCAAACCCAAGUAUUUUUGAUGCCCUUGGCAGUGUCAGUUGAACAGACAGUGUCAUUUAAUGUUUGAGACAGCAUCUGAAUUCCUUUUAUUCUUAAAAUUCUAUUUUAAAAUGCAGUUUUUGGAAAGUUAAUGUGAAUAGAAAAAUUUCUAACAUUUUAUGUGCAUGUGUUUUGUUUGUUACAGGCUUAGCAUCUCAAAUCUGAAAAUUCGAAAUCUGAAAUGUUUCUAAAAUUCAACUCUUUUGAGUGCUGAUAUGACUUUCAAAGGAAAAGCUCAUUGGAGCAUUUCAGAUUUUGGAUUUUUGGAUUUGGGAUGUUUAACCAGGGUAAAAUAUAGAAUGCAAAUAUUCCAAAAUCUGAAUAAAAUUGAAAUCUGAAAUGCUUAUGGUUCCAAGCAUUUUGGAUAAGGGAUAAUUAAGCUGUAUAACUUAUAAAACUGAAUAUAACAAAAUUUCCCAACAUGUGGAAAAUGAUGUCUUUUUUCAAAAAUGUCAAUAGCAGAUACAUGGUACAGUAAGUUAGGGGAAAAAAUGAGGUUUCAUAUCUUCUAGUUUCCUAAUUAAAAGGAGCCCAUUCUGGGUUGGAAGAAAGUGUCAGUAAGAUCAUUUCUCCUAUUUGAAAAUCAUACAAAGCUUGUCAGAGUGACUCAGGCCAGGAGUGUAGCUGGGCGUGUAGCUAAAUGAUAUCUCCCCACAUCUAUAUAAUAAGCUGUUACCUGCUUUAAAAGGAAAAGCUCUCAGCAUGACUCUAAUGUUGCAUUUCUGGAAUACAGCUUGAAAAGCUCUUCUCAGGGUUGAACAGAGCAUGAAGGUAAUGGUUAUUAUCUACUCACAUUAAAAAAAAAAAAAAAGAAAGAAACCACCACAGAAAACUACUUACUGUCUUUAGGCUCUACUUUCAAAAGUGCCCUUUAUGAACGCUUUUACACUGUUGAUGGGAGUGUAAAUUAGUUCAACCAUUGUGGAAGACAGUGUGGUGAUUCCUCAAGGAUCUAGAAUCAGAAAUACCAUUUGACCCAGCAAUCCCAUUACUGGGUAUAUACCCAAAGGAUUAUAAAUCAUUCUAUUAUAAAGACACAUGCACACGUAUGUUUAUUGCAGCACUGUUCACAAUAGCAAAGACUUGGAACCAACCCAAAUGCCCAUCAAUGAUAGACUGGAUAAAGAAAUUGUGGCACAUACACACCAUGGAAUACUAUGCAGCCAUAAUAAAAGAUGAGUUCAUGUCCUUUGCAAGGACAUGGACAAAGCUGGAAACCAUCAUUCUCAGCAAACAAGAACAGAAAAUCAAACACUGCAUGUUCUCAGUCUAAGUGGGAGCUGAACAAUGAGAAAACAUGGACACAGAGAGGGGAACAUCACACACUGGGCCUGUUGGGGGGUAGGGGGCUAGGGGAGGGAUAGCAUUAGGAGAAAUACCUAAUGUAAAUGACAGGUUAAUGGGUGCAGCAAACCACCAUGGCAUGUGUAUACCUAUGUAACAAACCUGCAUGUUCUGCACAUGUAUCCCAGAACUUAAAGUAUAAAUAAAUAAAUGAAUAAAUAAAUAAAUUUUAAAAAGU
Molecule: long non-coding RNA, 2645 nt
Filed under: Homo sapiens (human)
Lineage: Eukaryota; Metazoa; Chordata; Mammalia; Primates; Hominidae
Description: HSALNT0315487
Source: RNAcentral